This 920-nucleotide long non-coding RNA is filed under the name Coffea arabica (coffee). RNAcentral's name for it is "long non-coding RNA (CARA_LNC004458)". Lineage: Eukaryota; Viridiplantae; Streptophyta; Magnoliopsida; Gentianales; Rubiaceae. The record is from RNAcentral.
UUGUUUACAAAAAUAAUUAUAUAUAUGUACAUAUACAUGUACACACAGUUCUUUUAGUUUUUUGGUGUUUAUGCAUAGGAGUGGGUACGGGUCGAGUGCCCGUCCCAAACGUGAUUUGACUGACCUGACUCUACUCUAUCUAUCGGAUCACUAUUUUUUUAUCCUAAUCCGCUCCACUUAUCUCCGGAUACCCGAGGACCGGGUACAAAAAAAAGGGUGGGUCAUCGGGUAUCCACCCUUAUAAUUUAUAUUUACUAAUAUCCAUUUUUCAAGCACAACAAAUAUCACCUUCCAAUUAAUUACUAAACCAGAAUAAGAAAACAUAAAGAAUAAGUGCUAAAUUCAGCUUCGACAUAAACAAAAAAUAGAAAAGAAAGUGCCAACCAAAUCAACUUCAGCAACUCUUGGUUCUAGAAACAAAUUCCCCCAACCUAACAACUUUCACAAGCCUACUAAAAUUCAAGAAAUCAUAGGCUAAAAGAGAUGCUACAUGCUGAUGCGAAUAACUACAGAAGUACACCCAAGUAAACUUGAAUUAUUUAAGAAGCGCCAGCAAAGUCAAUAAGUGCGGGUUCUGCACUUUCCAACUCCACUUUUCUGUUAGAGUGCACUUACAAGGUUGAGAGUUUGCAUUGACGUUCCGGCGUUCUACAGCUUCUGCUUGAGGCUUGCUUUGAGGAGCACCAGCAAAUCAGAAAUGGGUUGUGAUUCUCUCAUGAUUCUAAGACAAUCGUAUAUUUGUAGCACGAAGUGGUGAAAAUUGAAUAGAAAUUUGGAAUUGUUGUGGUGAAAAUUGAAGAGAAGAAGAGGAGAUAUUCGGCUAAGAUAGAGAAGAGGAGAUAUUCGGCUAAGAUAGAGAGAAACUUCAAAAGUGAAAAGCUGAACGUUGAUAAUAUUUAGGUCUUUAGGGUUAAUAAUUU